CCUACGUGUGGCAGCAGUGGGGAAUAUUGGGCAAUGGAGGAAACUCUGACCCAGCAACGCCGCGUGAAUGAUGAAGGUCUUCGGAUUGUAAAGCUCUUUUCUAAGGGAAGAAGGAAGUGACGGUUCCUUAGGAAUGAGUCUCGGCUAACUACGUGCCAGCCGCCGCGGUAAUACGUAGGAGGCGAGCGUUAUCCGGAAUGACUGGGCGUAAAGGGUGCGUAGGUGGUUUGGCAAGUUAGUAGCGGAACUACAGGGAUCAACCUGGGAACUACUACUAAGACUGGUGGACGUGAGUGCAGGAGAGGCAAGCGGAAUUCCUGGUGUAGGGGUGGAAUGCGUAGAUAUUAGGAGGAACACCAGUGGCGAAGGCAGGUUGCUAGACUGUAACUGACACUGAGGCACGAAAGCGUGGGGAGCAAACAGGAUUAGAUACCCCAGUAGUC
RNAcentral lists this ribosomal RNA (443 nucleotides) under uncultured bacterium. RNAcentral's name for it is "partial 16S ribosomal RNA". It matches the Rfam family "Bacterial small subunit ribosomal RNA", at positions 338 to 795 of the family's 1533-position model. The record is from RNAcentral.